This 253-nucleotide ribosomal RNA is filed under the name uncultured bacterium. Its description in RNAcentral is "partial 16S ribosomal RNA". It matches the Rfam family "Bacterial small subunit ribosomal RNA", at positions 524 to 776 of the family's 1533-position model. The record is from RNAcentral.
UACGUAGGGGGCGAGCGUUGUCCGGAUUUACUGGGCGUAAAGGGCGCGUAGGCGGCGCAACAAGUCACUUGUGAAAUCUCCGGGCUUAACCCGGAGCGGCCAAGUGAUACUGUCGUGCUAGAGUGCGGAAGGGGCUACUGGAAUUCUCGGUGUAGCGGUGAAAUGCGUAGAUAUCGAGAGGAACACCUGCGGCGAAGGCGGGUAGCUGGGCCGACACUGACGCUGAUGCGCGAAAGCCAGGGGAGCGAACGGG